UACGGAGGGGACUAGCGUUGUUCGGAAUUACUGGGCGUAAAGCGCACGUAGGCGGAUUUGUAAGUCAGGGGUGAAAUCCCGGGGCUCAACCUCGGAACUGCCUUUGAUACUGCAAAUCUCGAGUCCGGAAGAGGUGAGUGGAAUUCCUAGUGUAGAGGUGAAACUCGUAGAUAUUAGGAAGAACACCAGUGGCGAAGGCGGCUCACUGGUCCGGUACUGACGCUGAGGCGCGAAAGCGUGGGGAGCAAACAGG
Molecule: ribosomal RNA, 253 nt
Filed under: uncultured bacterium
Lineage: Bacteria
Description: partial 16S ribosomal RNA
Rfam family: Bacterial small subunit ribosomal RNA
Source: RNAcentral